RNAcentral lists this ribosomal RNA (521 nucleotides) under Lasius nipponensis. Its description in RNAcentral is "partial 16S ribosomal RNA". Lineage: Eukaryota; Metazoa; Arthropoda; Insecta; Hymenoptera; Formicidae. The record is from RNAcentral.
GGUUUUUUGAAUUAUAAUUUAAGAUUAGUUCUGCUCAAUGAUUUAAAUUAAAUAGCCGCAGUAUUUUGACUGUGCUAAGGUAGCAUAAUCAGUUGUUUUUUAAUUGAGAACUGGAAUGAAGGAAUUGAUGAGAUUAAGACUGUCUAUUGUAGAGUAUUAGAAUUUAAAUUUUAAGUAAUAAUUCUUAAAUAAAAUUAUGGGACGAGAAGACCCUAUAGAAUUUGAUAUAGUUUUUUAAAAUAUAAAUAUUAAGAAUUUAAUAAAAUUAAUAUUUUAUUGGGAGGAUAAUUAAAUUAAAUUAACUUUAAUAUUAAAAUUAAACAUUAAUUUAUGAUGUAUAUUAAUGAAUAAUUUUAUUGUAAAAAAUAAAAUUAAUAAAAAAUUAAUUACCUUAGGGAUAACAGCGUAAUAUUUUUAAAAAGAUCAUAUUGAUAAAAAUGUUUGCGACCUCGAUGUUGAAUUAAAAUAAAAAUUAAAUGAAGAAGUUUAAUAUUUUAGUCUGUUCGACUAUUAAAAUUUUA